GACGAACCGUGCGAACGUUGUUCGGAAUCACUGGGCUUAAAGGGCGCGUAGGCGGUCUGCCAAGUCUGGGGUGAAAUCCUCCGGCUCAACCGGAGAACGGCCUCGGAUACUGGCGGUCUCGAGGGAGGUAGGGGCGUGCGGAACUAAGGGUGGAGCGGUGAAAUGCGUUGAUAUCCUUAGGAACUCCGGUGGCGAAGGCGGCACGCUGGACCUCUUCUGACGCUGAGGCGCGAAAGCCAGGGGAGCAAACGGG
Molecule: ribosomal RNA, 253 nt
Filed under: uncultured bacterium
Lineage: Bacteria
Description: partial 16S ribosomal RNA
Rfam family: Bacterial small subunit ribosomal RNA
Source: RNAcentral